UGGGGUAGCCUACCAUGCAAGUCGAGCGGAAGAGGGUAGCUUGCUACCUGAUUUAGCGGCGGACGGGUGAGUAAUGUAUAGGGAGCUGCCCGAUAGAGGGGGAUACCAGUUGGAAACGACUGUUAAUACCGCAUAAUGUCUACGGACCAAAGUGUGGGACCUUCGGGCCACAUGCUAUCGGAUGCACCUAUAUGGGAUUAGCUAGUUGGUGGGGUAACGGCUCACCAAGGCGACGAUCCCUAGCUGGUUUGAGAGGAUGAUCAGCCACACUGGAACUGAGACACGGUCCAGACUCCUACGUGAGGCAGCAUUGGGGAAUAUUGGACAAUGGGCGCAAGCCUGAUCCAGCCCUGCCCCGUGUGUGAAAAAUGCCUUCUGGUUGUGAAGCACUUUCCCCGAUUAAGAAAGGGUGUGUUGUUAAAAGCAACAAUCUUUUAGGUUUCUCGCAAAAAACGCACCGGCUUACUCCUGGCCAACCUCCGCGG
Molecule: ribosomal RNA, 485 nt
Filed under: Rheinheimera sp.
Lineage: Bacteria; Pseudomonadati; Pseudomonadota; Gammaproteobacteria; Chromatiales; Chromatiaceae
Description: bacterial SSU rRNA
Rfam family: Bacterial small subunit ribosomal RNA
Source: RNAcentral